Molecule: long non-coding RNA, 209 nt
Filed under: Mytilus galloprovincialis (Mediterranean mussel)
Lineage: Eukaryota; Metazoa; Mollusca; Bivalvia; Mytilida; Mytilidae
Source: RNAcentral
UAGAGAAAAUAAUGACCUUGGGCAAUGACAAAAAUGUACGUUUUACACUUCCCUAAGAACACUUUGUAUAAAAAGAGAAACACAUCCUAUAUGUUACGGGGUUGUAUAAUGGCGACAGGACAAUAUAAACUUAUUACAAUGUUUUUAAUAUUUCAUUUAUACCUAAUGAUUGAAUUGUCAAUAAAUGAGGGGCAAAAUAUACCAGAGGG